GUCGAGAGGUUAGAGCACAUGACUCCCACACCCAUGGUUCCGGGUUCGAAUC
RNAcentral lists this transfer RNA (52 nucleotides) under Eutreptiella gymnastica. RNAcentral's name for it is "partial tRNA". Lineage: Eukaryota; Euglenozoa; Euglenophyceae; Eutreptiales; Eutreptiaceae. The record is from RNAcentral.